UGGGGAAUUUUGGACAAUGGGCGCAAGCCUGAUCCAGCCAUGCCGCGUGAGUGAAGAAGGCCUUCGGGUUGUAAAGCUCUUUCGGCGGGGACGAAACGGUUCGUGACAACACCACGGACUAAUGACGGUACUCGCAGAAGAAGCACCGGCUAACUACGUGCCAGCAGCCGCGGUAAUACGUAGGGUGCAGGCGUUAAUCGGAAUUACUGGGCGUAAAGCGUGCGCAGGCGGCUCCUUAAGUCAGAUGUGAAAUCCCCGGGCUUAACCUGGGAACUGCGUUUGAAACUGGGGAGCUGGAGUGUAGAAGAGGGGGGUGGAAUUCCAGGUGUAGCAGUGAAAUGCGUAGAGAUCUGGAGGAACACCGAUGGCGAAGGCAGCCCCCUGGGCUAACACUGACGCUCAUGCACGAAAGCGUGGGGAGCAAAC
RNAcentral lists this ribosomal RNA (426 nucleotides) under uncultured bacterium. RNAcentral describes it as "bacterial SSU rRNA". It matches the Rfam family "Bacterial small subunit ribosomal RNA", at positions 355 to 773 of the family's 1533-position model. The record is from RNAcentral.